This 496-nucleotide ribosomal RNA is filed under the name uncultured bacterium. RNAcentral's name for it is "partial 16S ribosomal RNA". It matches the Rfam family "Bacterial small subunit ribosomal RNA", at positions 28 to 506 of the family's 1533-position model. The record is from RNAcentral.
GAUGAACGCUGGCGGCGUGCCUAAUACAUGCAAGUCGAGCGAACAGACGAGGAGCUUGCUCCUCUGACGUUAGCGGCGGACGGGUGAGUAACACGUGGAUAACCUACCUAUAAGACUGGGAUAACUUCGGGAAACCGGAGCUAAUACCGGAUAAUAUAUUGAACCGCAUGGUUCAAUAGUGAAAGACGGUUUUGCUGUCACUUAUAGAUGGAUCCGCGCCGCAUUAGCUAGUUGGUAAGGUAACGGCUUACCAAGGCGACGAUGCGUAGCCGACCUGAGAGGGUGAUCGGCCACCCUGGAACUGAGACACGGUCCAGCCUCCUACGGGAGGCAGCAGUAGGGAAUCUUCCGCAAUGGGCGAAAGCCUGACGGAGCAACGCCGCGUGAGUGAUGAAGGUCUUCGGAUCGUAAAACUCUGUUAUUAGGGAAGAACAAAUGUGUAAGUAACUAUGCACGUCUUGACGGUACCUAAUCAGAAAGCCACGGCUAACUACGU